This 210-nucleotide ribosomal RNA is filed under the name uncultured bacterium. RNAcentral describes it as "partial 16S ribosomal RNA". It matches the Rfam family "Bacterial small subunit ribosomal RNA", at positions 429 to 656 of the family's 1533-position model. The record is from RNAcentral.
AACUCUUUCAACUGUGAGGAUGAUGACAGUAGCAGUAGAAGAAGCACCGGCUAACUUCGUGCCAGCAGCCGCGGUAAUACGAAGGGUGCGAGCGUUGUUCGGAAUUACUGGGCGUAAAGGGUGUGUAGGCGGAUUGCAAAGAUAGAGGUGAAAGGCCUGGGCUCAACCUGGGAACUGCCUUUAUAACUUGCAGUCUAGAGAUCGAGAGAG